CGUAACAAGGUUUCCGUAGGUGAACCUGCGGAAGGAUCAUUAU
RNAcentral lists this ribosomal RNA (43 nucleotides) under Rhizoctonia solani. RNAcentral's name for it is "partial 18S ribosomal RNA". It matches the Rfam family "Eukaryotic small subunit ribosomal RNA", at positions 1790 to 1831 of the family's 1831-position model. The record is from RNAcentral. RNAcentral also lists the same sequence under 2 other names. Lineage: Eukaryota; Fungi; Basidiomycota; Agaricomycetes; Cantharellales; Ceratobasidiaceae.